GACGAACGCUGGCGGCGUGCCUAAUACAUGCAAGUAGAACGCUGAAGGAGGAGCUUGCUUCUCUGGAUGAGUUGCGAACGGGUGAGUAACGCGUAGGUAACCUGCCUGGUAGCGGGGGAUAACUAUUGGAAACGAUAGCUAAUACCGCAUAAUAGUAGAUGUUGCAUGACAUUUGCUUAAAAGGUGCAAUUGCAUCACUACCAGAUGGACCUGCGUUGUAUUAGCUAGUUGGUGGGGUAACGGCUCACCAAGGCGACGAUACAUAGCCGACCUGAGAGGGUGAUCGGCCACACUGGGACUGAGACACGGCCCAGACUCCUACGGGAGGCAGCAGUAGGGAAUCUUCGGCAAUGGACGGAAGUCUGACCGAGCAACGCCGCGUGAGUGAAGAAGGUUGUCGGAUCGUAAAGCUCGGUUGUAAGAGAAGAACGAGUGUGAGAGUGGAAAGUUCACACUGUGACGGUAUCUUACCAGAAAGGGACGGCUAACUACGUG
This 495-nucleotide ribosomal RNA is filed under the name uncultured bacterium. RNAcentral describes it as "partial 16S ribosomal RNA". It matches the Rfam family "Bacterial small subunit ribosomal RNA", at positions 28 to 507 of the family's 1533-position model. The record is from RNAcentral.